Molecule: ribosomal RNA, 465 nt
Filed under: uncultured bacterium
Lineage: Bacteria
Description: partial 16S ribosomal RNA
Rfam family: Bacterial small subunit ribosomal RNA
Source: RNAcentral
GACGAACGCUGGCGGCGUGCUUAACACAUGCAAGUCGAACGGAAAGGCCCUGCUUGCAGGGUACUCGAGUGGCGAACGGGUGAGUAACACGUGGGUGAUCUGCCCUGCACUUCGGGAUAAGCCUGGGAAACUGGGUCUAAUACCGGAUAGGAGCCAUUUUUAGUGUGAUGGUUGGAAAGUUUUUUCGGUGUAGGAUGAGCUCGCGGCCUAUCAGCUUGUUGGUGGGGUAAUGGCCUACCAAGGCGGCGACGGGUAGCCGGCCUGAGAGGGUGGACGGCCACAUUGGGACUGAGAUACGGCCCAGACGCCUACGGGAGGCAGCAGGGGGGAAUAUUGCACAAUGGGCGCAAGCCUGAUGCAGCGACGCCGCGUGGGGGAUGACGGCCUUCGGGUUGUAAACUCCUUUCGCUAGGGACGAAGCUUUUUGUGACGGUACCUAGAUAAGAAGCACCGGCUAACUACGUG